This 427-nucleotide ribosomal RNA is filed under the name uncultured bacterium. RNAcentral describes it as "partial 16S ribosomal RNA". It matches the Rfam family "Bacterial small subunit ribosomal RNA", at positions 355 to 774 of the family's 1533-position model. The record is from RNAcentral.
UGGGGAAUAUUGCACAAUGGGCGCAAGCCUGAUGCAGCCAUGCCGCGUGUAUGAAGAAGGCCUUCGGGUUGCAAAGUACUUUCAGUCGGGAGGAAGGUGUCAAGGUUAAUAACCUUGGCAAUUGACGUUACCGACAGAAGAAGCACCGGCUAACUCCGUGCCAGCAGCCGCGGUAAUACGGAGGGUGCAAGCGUUAAUCGGAAUUACUGGGCGUAAAGCGCACGCAGGCGGUUGAUUGAGUCAGAUGUGAAAUCCCCGGGCUUAACCCGGGAAUUGCAUCUGAUACUGGUCAGCUAGAGUCUUGUAGAGGGGGGUAGAAUUCCAUGUGUAGCGGUGAAAUGCGUAGAGAUGUGGAGGAAUACCGGUGGCGAAGGCGGCCCCCUGGACAAAGACUGACGCUCAGGUGCGAAAGCGUGGGGAGCAAACA